CUUUUUUUCUCUUUGGUCUCUUCAUUCUUCAUAUAUCCCACAAGUAGUCCUGUCAAAUCCCAUAAAGAAGUACUUUGGUUGUAAUUUUUCAACCUUGCUUUCCACACCAGAAUCACAAGCAACUAGCACACGUAAUUUCACAGCAGACAUAGAUAUUGUCGUCUUAUCAUGUCUGCACAAAAUAUAACUUCUGCUUCAUCACUUUUGCUUAUUUUUU
This 217-nucleotide unclassified non-coding RNA is filed under the name Hevea brasiliensis (rubber tree). Lineage: Eukaryota; Viridiplantae; Streptophyta; Magnoliopsida; Malpighiales; Euphorbiaceae. The record is from RNAcentral.